This is a long non-coding RNA of Mus caroli (Ryukyu mouse), 325 nucleotides long. RefSeq lists it as uncharacterized. The record is from RefSeq and is a predicted model, not a curated record. Lineage: Eukaryota; Metazoa; Chordata; Mammalia; Rodentia; Muridae.
GACCAAUUGCUCGUUCUUCGAGCCAUCAGCUUCAAUGUGGAAUGAAUUGAAGAUCUGUAACAAGGCUUGGCCUACACCAUGGACAAACAGUGGACACCCAGAGAGCUAAAUGUCUCCUACCGGCUAAGACAAGGAAACCCACUCAGAUCGACCUCUUGUGGAUCAAACAGACUCUAUCCAGGUAAGUACACCUGCCAAUCACUAAGUUCCUGUAGGAGGCUGUAGCCUCCCCUUUAGGCUGCCCAAGCCGCACCUUAAAGAUGGCGCCCACUGGAUGCAGAGCUGGUGGUGUAAAUGAGUCCAUAUUCGGUGGAGACAUGCCCCU